GACGAACCGUGCGAACGUUAUUCGGAAUCACUGGGCUUAAAGCGCGUGUAGGCGGGCCGGCACGUCGGCCGCUGAAAUCCCCCGGCUCAACCGGGGAAGCGGCGCCGAUACGACCGGCCUGGAGGGGAGUAGGGGGGCCUGGAACUUCCGGUGGAGCGGUGAAAUGCGUUGAGAUCGGAAGGAACGCCCGUGCGAAAGCGAGGCCCUGGACUCCUGCUGACGCUGAGACGCGAAAGCCAGGGGAGCGAACGGG
RNAcentral lists this ribosomal RNA (253 nucleotides) under uncultured bacterium. RNAcentral describes it as "partial 16S ribosomal RNA". It matches the Rfam family "Bacterial small subunit ribosomal RNA", at positions 524 to 776 of the family's 1533-position model. The record is from RNAcentral.